CGGGAGGAGGCAAGACAACUAGCGGGCGGCGAACAGAGCAGUCGGAAGAAGCAGGUCAUGCCUCGGUGGUGGACUUUGCAAGGGAAGGGGAGAGGGAGGGCGGUGUUUCUGGCUGUACAUGGCAACUCAGGCGGUGCGAGUUCCUGGUAUUAAGCCGCAGUCUAGUGUCUUGUGUGAGGGAGGCAAGCGCUGCCAAAAACCUUCCCCCUUCACCCCCAUCGUCUGUUAUCCCUGUGUUAUUGUCGCCUUGUCGUCCGGUGAUACGUCGUCUGGUGAAGCGGUGAGCCACCACACCUGUGAACCCGCGUGCCGCUGACCCGCUGAACGCCACCCUAACUAAAGCAGCAGUAUACGCCCUCACUUGAGCCCUCGAGCCAUCUGAGACCCCUGUCCUCAUCCACUAACGGUAGAAUUGGCACGCCUGGUACAGCCAGUCUGCGCACCGAGCCAUUCUAGUGUUGGUACUCGUGUCUACUCCUCCACACGUAAACAUAUGGAAGUGGCGCCGCCCGUGUGCUAGUGUGUUGGCAGCCUUCAGGAGCUUCCAGAGACGUGACACUUACCUAUUU
Portunus trituberculatus (swimming crab) is the source of this 569-nucleotide long non-coding RNA. RefSeq lists it as uncharacterized. NCBI's taxonomy places the organism in Eukaryota, Metazoa, Arthropoda, Malacostraca, Decapoda, Portunidae. The record is from RefSeq and is a predicted model, not a curated record. The transcript has 4 exons.